Molecule: ribosomal RNA, 497 nt
Filed under: uncultured bacterium
Lineage: Bacteria
Description: partial 16S ribosomal RNA
Rfam family: Bacterial small subunit ribosomal RNA
Source: RNAcentral
GAUGAACGCUGGCGGUGUGCCUAAUACAUGCAAGUCGAGCGAACAGACGAGGAGCUUACUCCUCUGACGUUAGCGGCGGACGGGUGAGUAACACGUGGAUAACCUACCUAUAAGGCUGGGAUAACUUCGGGAAACCGGAGCUAAUACCGGAUAACAUGUUGAACCGCAUGGUUCAACAGUGAAAGACGGUCUUGCUGUCACUUAUAGAUGGAUCCGCGUCGCAUUAGCUAGUUGGUAAGGUAACGGCUUACCAAGGCAACGAUGCGUAGCCGACCUGAGAGGGUGAUCGGCCACACUGGAACUGAGACACGGUCCAGACUCCUACGGGAGGCAGCAGUAGGGAAUCUUCCGCAAUGGGCGAAAGCCUGACGGAGCAACGCCGCGUGAGUGAAGAAGGUCUUCGGAUCGUAAAACUCUGUUAUUAGGGAAGAACAAAUGUGUAAGUAACUAUGCACGUCUUGACGGUACCUAAUCAGAAAGCCACGGCUAACUACGUG